GACGUAGGGCGCGAGCGUUGUCCGGAAUCAUUGGGCGUAAAGAGCGUGUAGGUGGCGGCGUAAGUUGGACGUGAAAUCGCCCGGCUCAACCGGGCGGGGUCGUUCAAUACUGCGCGGCUGGAGGAGGUCAGAGGGAAGUGGAAUUCCUGGUGUAGCAGUGAGAUGCGUAGAUAUCAGGAGGAACACCCGUGGCGAAGGCGGCUUCCUGGGGCCAUCCUGACACUGAGAAGCGAAAGCUAGGGGAGCGAACGGG
RNAcentral lists this ribosomal RNA (253 nucleotides) under uncultured bacterium. Its description in RNAcentral is "partial 16S ribosomal RNA". It matches the Rfam family "Bacterial small subunit ribosomal RNA", at positions 524 to 776 of the family's 1533-position model. The record is from RNAcentral.